RNAcentral lists this transfer RNA (73 nucleotides) under Candidatus Omnitrophota bacterium. RNAcentral describes it as "Candidatus Omnitrophica bacterium (aquatic metagenome) tRNA-Phe". It matches the Rfam family "tRNA". From Rfam's summary of the family: Transfer RNA (tRNA) molecules are approximately 80 nucleotides in length. Their secondary structure includes four short double-helical elements and three loops (D, anti-codon, and T loops). Lineage: Bacteria; Pseudomonadati; Candidatus Omnitrophota. The record is from RNAcentral.
GCCGAGAUAGCUCAGUUGGUAGAGCGCGGGACUGAAAAUCCCGGCGUCGACGGUUCGAUUCCGCCUCUCGGCA